Molecule: long non-coding RNA, 435 nt
Organism: Bos taurus (domestic cattle)
Lineage: Eukaryota; Metazoa; Chordata; Mammalia; Artiodactyla; Bovidae
Source: Ensembl
CAGUCAUGCCCGCCGGCCACGCUCAUUGUUAGAGACCUUCAAAAGAUCACUGCCAAGUCGUGAUGUCCUAGAUACAUUGUGGGUCAAGAUGAGAAGCAAGGCCCCUGUGAGCUCCCAGAAGCCACCUGGAAGCCUUGAACAGGUAUCACCCACUGGUUAACGGAAGGUCUGAGACUGGAACCCAAGCCUACAGAGCACCCACCUGCUCCUGUUUCUGGGCUCAGAGAAAGAGCCUCAGUGUCACAGGCCGUGUUCAAAAAAAGGAAGCAAAGGAGACCUGCUGCAGUCUCUGUCCAGAGAGAGCCAAAGGAUGGGUGAAGGUUGCAAAGCGAAAUCGUGGGUGUGAAGGGGCCGAUGCAGAACCCCUGUGGCCGCAGAGGCAGGGGCAGCGACCCGAGGGAGGACCCUGGCACCGGGCAUAAGGGGACAACCUCC